UGUGCAAAUGAUGAUACGCUAGACAGGGACUCAGCACUUCGAAAGGAGAAUGUUGAUUUGUCUAAUGGGAAAACUCUCUGAUGCAUA
This is a small nucleolar RNA of Trifolium pratense (red clover), 87 nucleotides long. RefSeq annotates it as small nucleolar RNA R44/J54/Z268 family. The transcript has a single exon. The record is from RefSeq and is a predicted model, not a curated record. NCBI's taxonomy places the organism in Eukaryota, Viridiplantae, Streptophyta, Magnoliopsida, Fabales, Fabaceae.